UACACUCCUACGGGAGGCAGCAGUGGGGAAUAUUGCACAAUGGGCGCAAGCCUGAUGCAGCCAUGCCGCGUGUAUGAAGAAGGCCUUCGGGUUGUAAAGUACUUUCAGCGGGGAGGAAGGCGAUAAGGUUAAUAACCUUGUCGAUUGACGUUACCCGCAGAAGAAGCACCGGCUAACUCCGUGCCAGCAGCCGCGGUAAUACGGAGGGUGCAAGCGUUAAUCGGAAUUACUGGGCGUAAAGCGCACGCAGGCGGUCUGUCAAGUCGGAUGUGAAAUCCCCGGGCUCAACCUGGGAACUGCAUUCGAAACUGGCAGGCUAGAGUCUUGUAGAGGGGGGUAGAAUUCCAGGUGUAGCGGUGAAAUGCGUAGAGAUCUGGAGGAAUACCGGUGGCGAAGGCGGCCCCCUGGACAAAGACUGACGCUCAGGUGCGAAAGCGUGGGGAGCAAACAGGAUUAGAAACCCCGGUAGUCCCAUG
RNAcentral lists this ribosomal RNA (476 nucleotides) under uncultured organism. RNAcentral describes it as "partial 16S ribosomal RNA". It matches the Rfam family "Bacterial small subunit ribosomal RNA", at positions 332 to 799 of the family's 1533-position model. The record is from RNAcentral.